UAAGGAAUAUUGGUCAAUGGGCGCAAGCCUGAACCAGCCAUGCCGCGUGCAGGAUGACGGCCCUAUGGGUUGUAAACUGCUUGUAUACGGGAAAAAACCCUCGAUCGUGAAUCGGGGCUGAUGGUACCGUAAGAAUAAGGAUCGGCUAACUCCGUG
This 156-nucleotide ribosomal RNA is filed under the name uncultured bacterium. RNAcentral's name for it is "partial 16S rRNA". It matches the Rfam family "Bacterial small subunit ribosomal RNA", at positions 355 to 507 of the family's 1533-position model. The record is from RNAcentral.